This 846-nucleotide ribosomal RNA is filed under the name uncultured bacterium. RNAcentral's name for it is "bacterial SSU rRNA". It matches the Rfam family "Bacterial small subunit ribosomal RNA", at positions 43 to 884 of the family's 1533-position model. The record is from RNAcentral.
CAGGCUUAACACAUGCGAGUCCAGCGGGGAAGGGUAGCUUGCUAUCUGACCUAGCGGCGGACGGGUGAGUAAUGCUUAGGAAUCUGCCUAUUAGUGGGGGACAACAUUCCGAAAGGAAUGCUAAUACCGCAUACGCCCUACGGGGGAAAGCAGGGGAUCUUCGGACCUUGCGCUAAUAGAUGAGCCUAAGUCAGAUUAGCUAGUUGGUGGGGUAAAGGCCUACCAAGGCGACGAUCUGUAGCGGGUCUGAGAGGAUGAUCCGCCACACUGGGACUGAGACACGGCCCAGACUCCUACGGGAGGCAGCAGUGGGGAAUAUUGGACAAUGGGCGAAAGCCUGAUCCAGCCAUGCCGCGUGUGUGAAGAAGGCCUUUUGGUUGUAAAGCACUUUAAGCGAGGAGGAGGCUACCGAGAUUAAUACUCUUGGAUAGUGGACGUUACUCGCAGAAUAAGCACCGGCUAACUCUGUGCCAACAGCCGCGGUAAUACAGAGGGUGCGAGCGUUAAUCGGAUUUACUGGGCGUAAAGCGUGCGUAGGCGGCUUUUUAAGUCGGAUGUGAAAUCCCUGAGCUUAACUUAGGAAUUGCAUUCGAUACUGGGAAGCUAGAGUAUGGGAGAGGAUGGUAGAAUUCCAGUGUAGCGGUGAAAUGCGUAGAGAUCUGGAGGAAUACCGAUGGCGAAGGCAGCCAUCUGGCCUAAUACUGACGCUGAGGUACGAAAGCAUGGGGAGCAAACAGGAUUAGAUACCCUGGUAGUCCAUGCCGUAAACGAUGUCUACUAGCCGUUGGGGCCUUUGAGGCUUUAGUGGCGCAGCUAACGCGAUAAGUAGACCGCCUGGGGAGUACG